GUUCAGAGAAAAGGUCACUGUAAGAUUAAUGCACCCAUAUUUUAAUAUCAAACUAUGACAAAAUUGAUAACAGCCUUUUGGUACUUCUGCCAAAAC
This 96-nucleotide microRNA precursor is filed under the name Canis lupus familiaris (dog). RNAcentral describes it as "miRNA (ENSCAFG00845019085.1)". The record is from RNAcentral. Lineage: Eukaryota; Metazoa; Chordata; Mammalia; Carnivora; Canidae.